GCAUCCGUAGCCGGCUGCUCAAGUUUCCGGUUAAAUCCACACGCUUAACGUAUGGGCUGCCGGAAAUACUGUUCAGCUAGGGAGUGGGAGAGGUACACGGUACUCAGUAGGAAGGGGUAAAAUCCUUUGAUCUAUUGAUGACCACCUGUGGCGAAGGCGGUGUACCAGAACACGUUCGACGGUGAGGGAUGAAAGCUGGGGGAGCAAACCGGAUUAGAUACCCGGGUAGUCCCAGCUGUAAACGAUGCAGACUCGGUGAUGCAUUGGCUUGUGGCCAAUGCAGUGCCGCAGGGAAGCCGUUAAGUCUGCCGCCUGGGAAGUACGUACGCAAGUAUGAAACUUAAAGGAAUUGGCGGGGGAGCACAAGCCG
RNAcentral lists this ribosomal RNA (370 nucleotides) under uncultured Nitrososphaerota archaeon. Its description in RNAcentral is "bacterial SSU rRNA". It matches the Rfam family "Archaeal small subunit ribosomal RNA", at positions 515 to 888 of the family's 1478-position model. The record is from RNAcentral. Lineage: Archaea; Thermoproteati; Nitrososphaerota.